Molecule: transfer RNA, 64 nt
Filed under: Cricetulus griseus (Chinese hamster)
Lineage: Eukaryota; Metazoa; Chordata; Mammalia; Rodentia; Cricetidae
Rfam family: tRNA
About the family: Transfer RNA (tRNA) molecules are approximately 80 nucleotides in length. Their secondary structure includes four short double-helical elements and three loops (D, anti-codon, and T loops).
Source: Rfam by way of RNAcentral
GCUAGCUCAGUCAAGGUAGAGCAUGAGACUUUAAUCUCAGAGUUGUGGGUUCAUGCCCCACGCA